Molecule: small nucleolar RNA, 129 nt
Filed under: Meriones unguiculatus (Mongolian gerbil)
Lineage: Eukaryota; Metazoa; Chordata; Mammalia; Rodentia; Muridae
Description: Small nucleolar RNA SNORA17 (ENSMUGG00000011438.1)
Rfam family: Small nucleolar RNA SNORA17
About the family: snoRNA ACA 17 belongs to the H/ACA family of snoRNAs and is predicted to guide pseudouridylation of the 28S rRNA at positions U4659 and U4598. It shares the same host gene together with ACA43. NB This family has a high threshold value to exclude a large number of closely related sequences that do not appear to have conserved H and ACA boxes, and may be pseudogenes.
Source: RNAcentral
CCUUCUCCUAGAAGCUUUGCAGGUGUUGUUGUUGUGCCACAUGUGUGUCAGUAGAUAGCAGAGAGGAGAGCUCUGUCUACACUUAGUGGUCUGCCCUAUGGACAUCUGAAUUAUUAGUAGCUGAACAUU